Molecule: ribosomal RNA, 516 nt
Filed under: uncultured bacterium
Lineage: Bacteria
Description: bacterial SSU rRNA
Rfam family: Bacterial small subunit ribosomal RNA
Source: RNAcentral
UUCUGGCUCAGGAUAAACGCUGGCGGCGUGCUUAACACAUGCAAGUCGAACGGAGUGGUCUCCCGAGAAUUGAUGGUGCUGCACCUGAUUGACUCAUUGGAUCACUAGUGGCGGACGGGUGAGUAACGCGUGGGAAACCUGCCCUAGUACUGGGGGAUAGCAGUUGGAAACGACUGAUAAUACCGCAUAAGCGCACAGGACCGCAUGGUCUAGUGUGAAAAAACUCCGGUGGUAUAGGAUGGUCCCGCGUCUGAUUAGCUAGUUGGUGAGGUAACGGCCCACCAAGGCGACGAUCAGUAGCCGGCCUGAGAGGGUGUACGGCCACAUUAGGACUGAGACACGGCCCAAACUCCUACGGGAGGCAGCAGUGGGGAAUAUUGGACAAUGGGGGAAACCCUGAUCCAGCGAACCGCCGCGUGAGCGAAGAAGUAUCUCGGUAUGUAAAGCUCUAUCAGCAGGGAAGAUAAUGACGGUACCUGACUAAGAAGCACCGGCUAAAUACGUGCCAGCCGCUGC